Molecule: transfer RNA, 73 nt
Filed under: Cordylochernes scorpioides
Lineage: Eukaryota; Metazoa; Arthropoda; Arachnida; Pseudoscorpiones; Chernetidae
Description: tRNA-Thr
Source: RNAcentral
GUCCAGGGGCGGGAAUCGAACCCACACCCUUCUGCUUACCGGGCAGGUGCCUUGUCCACUAGGCUACCCUGGA